AAAGACUGUACUUAUAUUAUGGAGAACCUAAGCACACUACUCAAUAUUAUCUAAAGAAGCAAUGUAAUUACAAAAUGAGGUAUAUGGCUAUCAAGAAAGAUAGUAUAUUAGAAAAAAAAUUUAUCUAACUACAAUAAAGUCCCUACACUUUGAACCUUAUACAAAAUCUAGUGAAGGUCCUAUUCUUUCCUUAAAAUCUUCUCUUUGUUUUACAAUAAAUAUUAUUUUAGGACUUAAAUAUUACAUAGCCUCUACCUUAUUAAAUUCAAGAAGGAGCUCAAUUAUUAUAAAAAGUAAUCUAUAAUUUAUUACAAAAAAAUUGGUUGAAUUCAAGGAAUAUAUUGAAGAAAAUCUAGUCAAGUAUUUUAUAUACCAUUCCAAAUUUCUGUCACAAAUUUAGAAUACUGACUAAAAAUCUAAACAAGAAGCUUAAGAAAAAUUGGCAAGAACUAGAUUUAUCAGAUGAGUACAAGAACAAUACUAGAGAGAUGAGCUAGAGUUCUAAGAGGUGUAUUGUCAAGAC
Molecule: long non-coding RNA, 523 nt
Filed under: Physcomitrium patens
Lineage: Eukaryota; Viridiplantae; Streptophyta; Bryopsida; Funariales; Funariaceae
Description: long non-coding RNA (PPAT_LNC006052)
Source: RNAcentral